Molecule: long non-coding RNA, 699 nt
Filed under: Citrus x clementina
Lineage: Eukaryota; Viridiplantae; Streptophyta; Magnoliopsida; Sapindales; Rutaceae
Description: Citrus clementina (C. clementina) long non-coding RNA (CCLE_LNC002628)
Source: RNAcentral
AAAAAUUUGAGUGUUGGGGUUUUGUCCAUAACCUAUGGGUAAACCAUACCCAACCCAUAAUGAAAUAAUUUUCUAUAUAAAACCCACAUCUAACCCAUUUUCAUGAUUUACCCAACCCAAACCAUUUAAUUUGGUUUGGGUUUGGGUAAACCCAUGGGUUGUGGGUUUAUGUCCACCCCCACUUGAAACUAUAAUACUACCCUAUUGCAAAAUAUCAAGAAGCCCCUCCAUUACACUUCAUAUUCAGAAGCCAAGGGAAGUCCCACCAUGCGUCAGCACCAUGCAAUUUCUCCUGAAAACUUCUUGUGCUUUAAACUUUUCAAUACUAAGAUACCAGAAGGAUCUUGUUUAGGGGGAAAUUUACAAUGUUGAUAUGGACUAAUAAACUAAAGACACGUGGUGAAAAGAAGUAAAUUAAAAUGAAGUCAAUUUAUUUGACCGAAUGAUAUGAUAGCUCAUAGAAGUCAAAAGAUAAGUUCAAAGGAAAAAGGAUAGUUUGGAUAAAAACGUCAACACCGAAAGAUAUUAUUAGGACUCAGAUUUAGUAGUUAGAGUUAAACACGUGAGCAAUGCAUGCCAUCUUUAAUGUUGCUGACAUAAGAAUGGUGACACGACUUAAAAUGUGUUUGAUUUUCUCCCAAAUAUAAGAGUGUCUAGUUAUAAUAUAUUUCGGUGAGUCCGAGAUCGAUCUAUAGAGAA